CUUGGGUUAGAGAGAGAAACUAGAGAGAGAAAGUGUAGAUUUGAGUUCCUCGUAAUAGGCAAAGAUCGCCUACUUAGAAGAAACACAAAAAGGAAGUCGGUGUAAGGUAGGGAAUUUUAUGCUAUUCUAUGGUGUAUCUGAUUUCUUUCCUUGAAUUAUUUGUUGGAAUUUUAUGUUAUUUCUAUGAUUUCAUAAAAUCUUUUAAAGUGUCAUUGCAUCUCGGUUAUUGCAUUGAAAUGUUACCAUGAUGUUGGAACGUAUAUUGGUAUGAAGAUUCGUGGUUUUGUGUUGUCGAAAUGGUUUAUGGUGUGAUUGCAUUUCAAGAAGGAUAUGGAAUUAUCACAGAUCAUAUUCAGAGAAUUUAUUGGUGGCGAAGUGCUUAUGUGAUGCUACAAGCCUUAUCAUUUGAUAUAUUGUUUAUGUGGGACCGUGGGUCCUUGGGUGAAAGUCCCUAAAGCCCUCGAGGAAGACACUCCGAUGUGGGUGUAUGGGGUUGGUCCUGCCCCUGGGUUUUAGUCCCUAAAGACACGGGGUUGGUCCUGCCCUUGGGUAUGAGUCCCAAAAGACACGGGGUAUGACUUGCCCUUGGGUGAUGUCCCAGAAUAGUCAUUAUUAUAUUGAUCGAGUAUCUUGUGGAGCAUUGAUAUCUGCUGUGUAGAUUGUUGGGAGUCAGCAUAUUAUCAGUUGUGAAAGGAUGGAUGGGGAAAAGCAAUGAUGAAACCAACAAACACGUGCAUACAUGUUUGACAUGAUUACACAUUUGUUAAUGGUUAUGAAAUGUUUAUCAUGCAUGUUAUUAAACGUUUAAUUCAAGGUUUUUAAGGGUAUACUUAGGAUGGUUAUAAACUUUCCUACUGAGUUGUGAACUCACCCUAUUCCUUCCACCUAUAGAUGCAGGUCAGAAGACCUAUGCAGGAAAGAAUGCUUGAGCAAUGCUUUACUGUGAUUGGAUGCUGUUUGCUCAUAUUGAAAGUCUUUUGAGGCCAUGCCUUUUGUAUCAAGACUACACCUUUUGUUGGAAUGAUGUAAUGUAUAUAUUUGUUAGAUACACUUGUAGUAUGGGCCACCCAUAGUAAACAAUGGGGUUGGGUAUAUGUAAAUUAAUGUUGUACAAGUUUCUUUUGUGAAACAAAACAUAUUUUGUUAACUUAAUAGUCACAAUGUUUAAUACAGAAUGUACUCUUUAUAACA
Molecule: long non-coding RNA, 1191 nt
Organism: Vitis vinifera (wine grape)
Lineage: Eukaryota; Viridiplantae; Streptophyta; Magnoliopsida; Vitales; Vitaceae
Exons: 2
Source: RefSeq, a predicted model, not a curated record